RNAcentral lists this transfer-messenger RNA (336 nucleotides) under uncultured Minwuia sp. Its description in RNAcentral is "Alphaproteobacteria transfer-messenger RNA". It matches the Rfam family "Alphaproteobacteria transfer-messenger RNA". From Rfam's summary of the family: Bacterial tmRNA, also known as 10Sa RNA or SsrA, is named for its dual tRNA and mRNA-like properties. Its role is to liberate the mRNA from a stalled ribosome. To accomplish this part of the tmRNA is used as a reading frame that ends in a translation stop signal. The record is from RNAcentral. Lineage: Bacteria; Pseudomonadati; Pseudomonadota; Alphaproteobacteria; Minwuiales; Minwuiaceae.
UUCGUCCGAAUUGGCCCAUAUAGAAGGCGUCGGUUUACCGACUAUGGCGAUAAACGCUUCACGAAAUAGGCGUAACGGACCCGGGGGCAGUGCCCGGCGCCUCCACCAACUCCUCCGUCAGCCCGCCUGGGAACAGGUAGGCAGGUUACGGACGGGAGAGACCCGAUGGGGGCGAAACAGGAUCGACGUGCGUAGUAAAGGUGUGGUUUUCGCCCGGCAUGGUACCACCGUAUCGGACCAAAUUUACAGGUGCCAAUGAUAAUGAAAUGGCCCUCGCUGCUUAAGUUUUCUUAGGCAAGCGCGGCUCGGGGGGCGCCGGGCAACAGAAGCCCCCCA